This 1037-nucleotide ribosomal RNA is filed under the name uncultured bacterium. Its description in RNAcentral is "bacterial SSU rRNA". It matches the Rfam family "Bacterial small subunit ribosomal RNA", at positions 348 to 1397 of the family's 1533-position model. The record is from RNAcentral.
GCAGCAGUGGGGAAUAUUGCACAAUGGGCGAAAGCCUGAUGCAGCAACGCCGCGUGAGGGACGAAGGCCUUCGGGUUGUAAACCUCUUUUAGUAGGGAAGAAGCGAAAGUGACGGUACCUGCAGAAAAAGCACCGGCUAACUACGUGCCAGCAGCCGCGGUAAUACGUAGGGUGCAAGCGUUGUCCGGAAUUAUUGGGCGUAAAGAGCUCGUAGGCGGUUUGUCGCGUCUGCUGUGAAAACCCGAGGCUCAACCUCGGGCCUGCAGUGGGUACGGGCAGACUAGAGUGCGGUAGGGGAGAUUGGAAUUCCUGGUGUAGCGGUGGAAUGCGCAGAUAUCAGGAGGAACACCAAUGGCGAAGGCAGAUCUCUGGGCCGUAACUGACGCUGAGGAGCGAAAGCAUGGGGAGCGAACAGGAUUAGAUACCCUGGUAGUCCAUGCCGUAAACGUUGGGAACUAGAUGUGGGGACCAUUCCACGGUCUCCGUGUCGCAGCUAACGCAUUAAGUUCCCCGCCUGGGGAGUACGGCCGCAAGGCUAAAACUCAAAGGAAUUGACGGGGGCCCGCACAAGCGGCGGAGCAUGCGGAUUAAUUCGAUGCAACGCGAAGAACCUUACCAAGGCUUGACAUAUAGAGGAAACGGCUGGAAACAGUCGCCCCGCAAGGUCUCUAUACAGGUGGUGCAUGGUUGUCGUCAGCUCGUGUCGUGAGAUGUUGGGUUAAGUCCCGCAACGAGCGCAACCCUCGUCCUAUGUUGCCAGCACGUAAUGGUGGGAACUCAUGGGAUACUGCCGGGGUCAACUCGGAGGAAGGUGGGGAUAACGUCAAAUCAUCAUGCCCCUUAUGUCUUGGGCUUCACGCAUGCUACAAUGGCCGGUACAAAGGGCUGCAAUACCGUAAGGUGGAGCGAAUCCCAAAAAGCCGGUCUCAGUUCGGAUUGAGGUCUGCAACUCGACCUCAUGAAGUCGGAGUCGCUAGUAAUCGCAGAUCAGCAACGCUGCGGUGAAUACGUUUCCGGGCCUUGUACACACCGCCCGU